This 405-nucleotide ribosomal RNA is filed under the name uncultured Eubacteriales bacterium. RNAcentral's name for it is "uncultured Clostridiales bacterium partial 16S ribosomal RNA". It matches the Rfam family "Bacterial small subunit ribosomal RNA", at positions 355 to 774 of the family's 1533-position model. Lineage: Bacteria; Bacillati; Bacillota; Clostridia; Eubacteriales. The record is from RNAcentral.
UUAGGAAUAUUGCACAAUGGGGGAAACCCUGAUGCAGCGAUGCCGCGUGAAGGAAGAAGGGUUUCGGCUCGUAAACUUUUAUCGAUAGUGAAGAAACAAAUGACGGUAACUAAGUAAGAAGCCCCGGCAAACUAUGUGCCAGCAGCCGCGGUAAUACAUAGGGGGCAAGCGUUAUCCGGAUUUACUGGGUGUAAAGGGUGCGUAGGCGGCAUAUCAAGUCAGCUGUGAAAGACCAAUGCUUAACGUUGGGAACGCAACUGAAACUGGUAAGCUAGAGUAAAGGAGAGGUAAGUGGAAUUACUAGUGUAGAGGUGGAAUUCGUAGAUAUUAGUAAGAACACCAGUGGCGAAGGCGACUUACUGGCCUUAUACAGACGCUGAGGCACGAAAGUGUGGGGAGCAAACA